Alexandromys fortis (reed vole) is the source of this 816-nucleotide long non-coding RNA. RefSeq lists it as uncharacterized. NCBI's taxonomy places the organism in Eukaryota, Metazoa, Chordata, Mammalia, Rodentia, Cricetidae. The transcript has 2 exons. The record is from RefSeq and is a predicted model, not a curated record.
CCGGAGACUAGACUCCCUUCCUGGUUGUGCAGAUGGCUGUUGUCUGGGACGGUGAUCUGCUCUCCACAUUCCCAGACGUGAGCAAGGAAAGACGACAGAGGAUGCAAGAGACAUGGGUGAUCUGCUUGCCUGAACUAUGGCUGCAGAGUGAAACCAUCCUUAGCUGGAGUGCUCUCUACCCACCAAAACUCCAGCAAAGGAGAAGGCUCCUGCUGAACAGACAGGCUGAGCUCUGAAGGUGCAUUUCUAUGGCUUCUCCUCCUUAUCGUCCACAUCUUGAGACCUCUGAAGACACCAUCAGGCACACAAAACAUCUUCCAGGAAGGUUUUGUCACAGCUGUGGCUUCAGAGCCACAGGUUUAACUGCCAUGCCUUAUCAGCACAAACAGGGUGGGGCACCAUCUGUUUUCCGUCUCGCGCCUCAAGCGCCACCUGAUGGUUGCAUACUGUAAGAGGCGGUGUCUCAAUGGACAAGGCUUGCGGGUGCACAGGGAAAUUUUAUUAUUGCUUCCAGCGGGAAGCACAGGAUCAGAUGUAGUAUUCAAUCUCAGCACUCUUUGGAAGACAGAAGGAGAGACAGGAUUUGAGGAAGCUUUCUUCUUGUCUUCAGAAUCUACUGUCAGUGGUCAGUCGGAUAAUGCUCCCAUCCUUGGUUGCUAUCAGACCUCAUUAUAGUCUGGAGUCAGGACCGUCUAAUUGAAUGCUGACCCCAUUCCUUAGUAAUCUCAGAAGCCUAGCAGAAUAUACAUGUAUGUUUGCCUUUCAAUUUCUUAAAAUUUUUAUUAUAUCUAAUAAAAUUUUAUAUUCUUACAAUUA